CCGGUUCCCGCACGACAACUUGCUGCGAGACCUGUCACUUCCCCACCUUGCCCUGUCCUUUCCCCUCCCUGGCGCUCGCGCCUCCUCCUUUCUUCCUGCUCCCCGGCACCGAGCUCCCCUCGACGUUGCUCACGUGCCAGACCCGGGGCCGCGAGCGGCGUCCGCACCCGCGCGCACACCCGGCCCCACUCGCACUCGCCCGGCUUCGGGGCGCGCUGCUUACCUCCGGGGCCUCAUGGUCGUGUCGCUAGCCCGGGUGGGAGCGGGAGAGAGGGUAGAGAAAGAGAGCACAAGCAGGGGGAGCAGCAGGGAGAGGGAGAAGAAGGCUCUCUGUGGAGCAAGGAGCCCAGUGCAGGACUCCAUCCCAGGACUUCGGUACCAUGACCUGAGCCGAAAGCAGACACUUAACUGACUGAGCAACCCAGGUAAUAAACAUUCACAUGGGACCUGUCAAAAAAUGCUGGAACAGAAACAGAAUGAAGUAGAAGAUGUGUAUUACAGCUGAAGAGCACACUUCAGAAGAACAAAAUUUUACAUAAUUGCCUUGAUUCCCAAAGAGAUUAAAGAAAUUAUGAGCUCAGCAAAGUAAGAAAAGACCAUGUAAAAUAACCCUAUCUCUGACCCAUCAUAUAAUCUUGACUGGAACAAAAAAAUAAAAUCUCUUGUGUGUUU
Mustela lutreola (European mink) is the source of this 672-nucleotide long non-coding RNA. RefSeq lists it as uncharacterized. NCBI's taxonomy places the organism in Eukaryota, Metazoa, Chordata, Mammalia, Carnivora, Mustelidae. The record is from RefSeq and is a predicted model, not a curated record. The transcript is spliced from 3 exons.